RNAcentral lists this ribosomal RNA (689 nucleotides) under uncultured Bacteroidales bacterium. Its description in RNAcentral is "bacterial SSU rRNA". It matches the Rfam family "Bacterial small subunit ribosomal RNA", at positions 83 to 772 of the family's 1533-position model. The record is from RNAcentral. Lineage: Bacteria; Pseudomonadati; Bacteroidota; Bacteroidia; Bacteroidales.
GUUUGAUGGCGACCGGCGCACGGGUGAGUAACACGUAUCCAACCUGCCGAUGACUCGGGGAUAGCCUUUCGAAAGAAAGAUUAAUACCCGAUGGCAUAGUUCUUCCGCAUGGUGGAACUAUUAAAGAAUUUCGGUCAUCGAUGGGGAUGCGUUCCAUUAGGUUGUUGGCGGGGUAACGGCCCACCAAGCCUUCGAUGGAUAGGGGUUCUGAGAGGAAGGUCCCCCACAUUGGAACUGAGACACGGUCCAAACUCCUACGGGAGGCAGCAGUGAGGAAUAUUGGUCAAUGGACGAGAGUCUGAACCAGCCAAGUAGCGUGAAGGAUGACUGCCCUAUGGGUUGUAAACUUCUUUUAUACGGGAAUAAAGUGAGGCACGCGUGCCUUUUUGUAUGUACCGUAUGAAUAAGGAUCGGCUAACUCCGUGCCAGCAGCCGCGGUAAUACGGAGGAUCCGAGCGUUAUCCGGAUUUAUUGGGUUUAAAGGGAGCGUAGGCGGACGCUUAAGUCAGUUGUGAAAGUUUGCGGCUCAACCGUAAAAUUGCAGUUGAUACUGGGUGUCUUGAGUACAGUAGAGGCAGGCGGAAUUCGUGGUGUAGCGGUGAAAUGCUUAGAUAUCACGAAGACUCCGAUUGCGAAGGCAGCUUGCUGGACUGUAACUGACGCUGAUGCUCGAAAGUGUGGGUAUCAAA